GUGAGGAAUUUUCCGCAAUGGGCGAAAGCCUGACGGAGCAAUGCCGCGUGAAGGAUGAAGGCCUAUGGGUUGUAAACUUCUUUUCUCAGAAAAGAAUUAUGACGGUAUCUGAGGAAUAAGCAUCGGCUAACUCUGUGCCAGCAGCCGCGGUAAGACAGAGGAUGCAAGCGUUAUCCGGAAUGAUUGGGCGUAAAGCGUCUGUAGGUUGUUUAAAAAGUAUUCUGUCAAAGAUUAGGGCUUAACCCUAGAUAGGCAGAAUAAACUUUUAAGCUAGAGUUUGGUAGAGGCAGAGGGAAUUCCCGGUGGAGCGGUGAAAUGCGUAGAUAUCGGGAGGAACACCAAAGGCGAAGGCACUCUGCUGGGCCAAUACUAACACUGAGAGACGAAAGCGAGGGGAGCAAACAGGAUUAGAUACCCUUGUAGUCC
Molecule: ribosomal RNA, 426 nt
Filed under: uncultured bacterium
Lineage: Bacteria
Description: partial 16S ribosomal RNA
Rfam family: Bacterial small subunit ribosomal RNA
Source: RNAcentral